UCGCUACUACCGAUUGAAUGGCUUAGUGAACCCUCUGGACCGGUGCACGGCGUUGGAAACUUCGCCGCGCGUCUGGGAAGGAGGUUAAACUUGAUCAUUUAGAGGAAGUAA
This 111-nucleotide ribosomal RNA is filed under the name uncultured eukaryote. RNAcentral describes it as "partial small subunit ribosomal RNA". The record is from RNAcentral.